Molecule: unclassified non-coding RNA, 337 nt
Filed under: soil metagenome
Description: partial contains 5.8S ribosomal RNA, internal transcribed spacer 2, and large subunit ribosomal RNA
Rfam family: 5.8S ribosomal RNA (bases 1-120)
Source: RNAcentral
GAUGAAGAACGUAGCGAAAUGCGAUAAGUAGUGUGAAUUGCAGAAUUCAGUGAAUCAUCGAAUCUUUGAACGCACAUUGCGCCCCAUGGUAUUCCGUGGGGCAUGCCUGUUCGAGCGUCAUUUACCCCCUCAAGCUCCGCUUGGUGUUGGGCGUCUGUCCCGCUUCGCGCGCGGACUCGCCCCAAAGGUAUUGGCAGCGGUCGUGCCAGCUUCUCGCGCAGCACAUUGCGCUUCUCGAGGCACCGGUGAGCCCGCGUCCAUCAAGCUCACCCCCCCAGUUUGACCUCGGAUCAGGUAGGGAUACCCGCUGAACUUAAGCAUAUCAAUAAGCGGAGGA